Molecule: ribosomal RNA, 426 nt
Filed under: uncultured bacterium
Lineage: Bacteria
Description: bacterial SSU rRNA
Rfam family: Bacterial small subunit ribosomal RNA
Source: RNAcentral
GUGAGGAAUUUUGCGCAAUGGGGGCAACCCUGACGCAGCGACGCCGCGUGGAGGACGAAGUCUUUCGGGAUGUAAACUCCUGUCAGUGGGGACGAUAAUGACGGUACCCACAGAGGAAGCACCGGCUAACUCCGUGCCAGCAGCCGCGGUAAGACGGAGGGUGCAAGCGUUGUUCGGAAUUACUGGGCGUAAAGCGUAUGUAGGCGGCAAGUUAAGUUCAAUGUUAAAGCCCACGGCUCAACCGAGGAGAUGCAUUGAAAUACUGGCUAGCUAGAGGGUGUUAGAGGAAGACGGAAUUCCCAGUGUAGCGGUGAAAUGCGUAGAUAUUGGGAGGAACAUCGGUAGCGAAAGCGGUCUUCUGGGACAUACCUGACGCUGAGGUACGAAAGCGUGGGGAGCAAACGGGAUUAGAAACCCCUGUAGUCC